GUCUUUUUGUUGAGAAUGAAAAGUCUGGCCUGCCCGGUGUAGUAUUAACGGCCGCGGUAAUUUGACCGUGCAAAGGUAGCAUAAUCAUUAGCUUUUUAAUUGGAAGCUGGAAUGAAGGGUUUGACGGCUUUCUGCUGUCUUCAUUUUUUAUUUUGAAUUUUAGGACAUCGUGAAGACGCGAUGAUUUGGUAAUAAGACGAGAAGACCCUAUAAAGCUUUAAUGCGGGUUUAUCUUUAUUGAUAUUGGGUGUUUUGUUGGGGCGACAGGUAUGUUAUUGAAACGUACUUUAUUUUUGGAUUUUACUUAAAGACUUUAAUUAGAACCAUUAAUAGUGAAUUAGGAUAAGCUACUUUAGGGAUAACAGCGUAAUUGUAUUGGAGAGUUCAUAUUGAUGAUAUUGAUUGCGACCUCGAUGUUGAAUUAGGAUUUCCUUGGGCUGCAGCGAGUCUGUUUGGAUAGUCUGUUCGACUAUUAAAUUCCUACA
Molecule: ribosomal RNA, 485 nt
Filed under: Himantosoma porosum
Lineage: Eukaryota; Metazoa; Arthropoda; Chilopoda; Geophilomorpha; Gonibregmatidae
Description: partial 16S ribosomal RNA
Rfam family: Bacterial large subunit ribosomal RNA
Source: RNAcentral